GGCUCGGUAGCUCAGUUGGUAGAGCAACGGAUUGAAUUGAAGCUCCGUGUGUCGGCGGUUCGAUUCCGUCCCGCGCCA
This 78-nucleotide transfer RNA is filed under the name Limosilactobacillus reuteri. RNAcentral's name for it is "Lactobacillus reuteri tRNA-OTHER". It matches the Rfam family "tRNA". Rfam says of the family: Transfer RNA (tRNA) molecules are approximately 80 nucleotides in length. Their secondary structure includes four short double-helical elements and three loops (D, anti-codon, and T loops). The record is from RNAcentral. Lineage: Bacteria; Bacillati; Bacillota; Bacilli; Lactobacillales; Lactobacillaceae.